Molecule: ribosomal RNA, 465 nt
Filed under: Vreelandella stevensii
Lineage: Bacteria; Pseudomonadati; Pseudomonadota; Gammaproteobacteria; Oceanospirillales; Halomonadaceae
Description: partial 16S ribosomal RNA
Rfam family: Bacterial small subunit ribosomal RNA
Source: RNAcentral
CCUACGGAGGGCAGCAGUGGGGAAUAUUGGACAAUGGGGGGAACCCUGAUCCAGCCAUGCCGCGUGUGUGAAGAAGGCCCUCGGGUUGUAAAGCACUUUCAGUGAGGAAGAACGCCUGGUGGUUAAUACCCAUCAGGAAAGACAUCACUCACAGAAGAAGCACCGGCUAACUCCGUGCCAGCAGCCGCGGUAAUACGGAGGGUGCGAGCGUUAAUCGGAAUUACUGGGCGUAAAGCGCGCGUAGGUGGCUUGAUAAGCCGGUUGUGAAAGCCCCGGGCUCAACCUGGGAACGGCAUCCGGAACUGUCAAGCUAGAGUGCAGGAGAGGAAGGUAGAAUUCCCGGUGUAGCGGUGAAAUGCGUAGAGAUCGGGAGGAAUACCAGUGGCGAAGGCGGCCUUCUGGACUGACACUGACACUGAGGUGCGAAAGCGUGGGUAGCAAACAGGAUUAGAUACCCCUGUAGUC